RNAcentral lists this long non-coding RNA (543 nucleotides) under Cavia porcellus (domestic guinea pig). RNAcentral's name for it is "lncRNA (ENSCPOG00000038946.1)". The record is from RNAcentral. Lineage: Eukaryota; Metazoa; Chordata; Mammalia; Rodentia; Caviidae.
ACUCCUCAUUUUCACUAGGCUCUGGUGAAACCUUGACCCCUUGUUUCUUUCCUCCCAGGUGAAUUCCAUGGCCACAUGCUCAGCUGUUUGGUGAUUGCAAGUGGACAACUCCAUGCCAGCUACCACCCUUCAGAUGUUGAAACCUAAGUCAACUCCAGACCCCUGAGAUGGCAACACAGCCUCUACAGUGUGUGGGUGGAAGCCAGGCCUCCCAUACCUCCAUCUGCCUGUGGCCUGUCUGAGAGGGCCCCAGAGGAAGCACACAGAAGCGCCUGCUCUGCUCUGCUGACAUGAAAUCUGAACAUGCAUAAACCAGCAGCAAGGUGCACAGUGCUGCCACCAGCCCCGUGGCUUCCUCCCACCUCCGUGGACAGAUCUCAUGGGAUGUGGCCUCAGCUAGAACGCUGAAGAUGUUGUUGGACACACUGUUGCCAAACUGUAUCUCCAUGAAUCUUCGCUUAUUGAGUCUCUAGGCAUGGUACAAAAAAGCCCACUUGACUAUGACCCAAUGGGAACAGGGACAGCUGUUGUGCUGGGAGCAGU